UACAGAGGGGGCAAGCGUUGUUCGGAAUUACUGGGCGUAAAGGGCGCGUAGGCGGCUCGGCACGUCCGUUGUGAAAUCGCCCGGCUCAACUGGGCGGGGUCAGCGGAUACGGUCGAGCUUGAGCAAGCUAGGGGGCAAUGGAAUUCCCGGUGUAGUGGUGGAAUGCGUAGAUAUCGGGAGGAACACCAGUGGCGAAGGCGGUUGCCUGGAGCUUUGCUGACGCUGAGGCGCGAAAGCGUGGGGAGCGAUCCGG
Molecule: ribosomal RNA, 253 nt
Filed under: uncultured bacterium
Lineage: Bacteria
Description: partial 16S ribosomal RNA
Rfam family: Bacterial small subunit ribosomal RNA
Source: RNAcentral